RNAcentral lists this long non-coding RNA (2748 nucleotides) under Nicotiana benthamiana. Its description in RNAcentral is "long non-coding RNA (NBEN_LNC008758)". Lineage: Eukaryota; Viridiplantae; Streptophyta; Magnoliopsida; Solanales; Solanaceae. The record is from RNAcentral.
UCUCCUCCAUUAUAAUUAAAGGACUUAAAUAAUACAGACUAAGAAAUAACUAACAUCAAAGUAUUCAAGAAAAAUUGGGGCCCUAAGAUCAAGCCCAAACUCAACACAAAGAUGAUCUCCAUUAUUGAAGAAGCCUUUAGUUCGAGUUUUCCACUUAACUUGAAAUGCCCUAUGUCUACAUUUCAAUUUUAAAACCAUUAAAUCUAAAAAUGAUCCAGGACUUCCAACCCAUUGAGCUUGAAACCAACCCAGUCAAAAAUGAAAGGAAAUUAGUGAGAAUCUGGCUCGGGGAAAAGGAAAAUGCUUCAGUUCCAUUCAUGAAAGCUAUCCAUAUUUUGGGCCCCAAGAUGAGCCCAAUUCGGAUGCAAAGCUGAACCUGGGUCUGAGGAUCGAGUCCCUACAUGCCAAAACUUAGCAAAAUUAAUCGAUUCAAGGAGGUUAUAAUAUUUGAGCUCGUUUAUUAUGUAACUAGGCCAACGUUAGGCCUAGUCCGUGUGGUACAAAUAGUCCAGCCAAUAGCAAACAAAAUCAGUAUUGAUACAUGAACAUGAGAUCAAAGACUUGGGUUUCUAAUUUAUGACCUUUGACAUAGAUUAAUAUUAUUUCAACUCAUAAGCUAACUCUUUUAAACAUCAAUUUCAAUAUGCAAGUAAUGGACAAAUAACAAUGAUAUACAUGUUUAAAACUAAGAAAAUGCAUGAACGAUUAGAUGUUUAUUUUUGCAGAUCUCAAAACUCUAAUCAAAUGACCUCAAAACUAAGCUAUGAGAAAUAAGCACUGAAUCAUGGAACCACUUCAAACAUCUAUCAAACCACAUAAUUAGAGCUAAUAUAAUCACACACAGUAAUUCUGCAAUCACUUUCAGGUUCACACAAUAUUCUAAACAUAAAAUUCAAACUAACAUUUGAAAUAUGAUAGCAGACCUUGAAGAUACUUGAAGAUUUACACACAAUGGAUAGUGCUAGAACCUGAUAAAUUCCAAACUCAUUUCUACAUUUAAGCUAGCAUGAAUUGCAAAACUAAUCUACACUACUAGAGAUAAAAUAAACGAGUAAGACAUAAUAGUUCAAUAGUACAUAGUUAAUUACAAUGUGAAGAUUUAGCUACUUAAAUAAAAUCAACUGAAACUGUACUUGAGUAAAUAAUGGAACAUAAACAUCAGUCAGGGAAACAACAAAAGUAAAGCAUCAUGGUGCCUUAAAUUUAUCUUCAAAUUAGAGUUUACAUCUUGAAGGAUUCAGAACUUGUACCUGGAAUAAUGAGAACAAAUAAAGGAGAUUCAGCAACUGAAAGUAACAACAGCAAGAAACAGAGCUAGAAGUCAAUUCAAGAACCAAGAAAUGAUGUUCAGACCCCAAGAUGACUCUCAGUCGAAAAACAUGAUCAAAUUGACUUCAACACUGAUCUCAAAACCAAGUUCAACUCAUUUUUAGAAUCCCAAAUGAUGCAAAAGUGUUUCAGUAGAAAAGAAACUCAGAAAUCAAAGGAGAUGCAAAAGAAGGAAAACUUCAAUGGAAUAGUGAACAAACUUUAGCCAUUUCUCUUUCUGGAUUUUUCUCUUUUUUUUUUUUUAAUUCUGACGUAUUUUCAGCUACUAAAUUUUGUAAGCUCUCCAAUUUUUUUUCAAAGAAAAAUCUGAUCUCUCCCCAAAACCUUUUUUUUUGCAAGGAAAGAGCUGCAUGCCUUUAUAAGCAAGCAAUUAGGGAAAAUUUCAGACUUUAUUUUACCCUUUUGGUCCCUUUUCAAUUCAUGAAUUUUGCUUAAAAGUCCUUUAAUAUGACUCAAGUUAAUAACUUUUGCAGCUUCCAGGAAGCUUCCUUAAGUGGUUAUUUGAGAAAUGCUCCCAGUUAACCACCCAAGUUACCCCUGAUCAACCCAAUAUUUACCCAUACCCCUUUCCUUGAGACCCUUUCUGGUUAUCAGAUGAAAAAUUAAACUCUAAACCUUUUGAAAUAUAACAAACAAGGUUAAUCAAACAACUAGGGGUUCAAAUGGAUCAAACUAUGAACAAUUUAAAAAAAAGAAGAAAAAAGCAGAAGAUCGACUGGAAAACAAAUUGGGACAUGACUCAAACACACAAUACUCACACCAACUUUAACAUUAAACUCCAUUAUAAGACUCAUCAUAAUUAAACUAAACAUUGAUUAAGACCAGUCUAAAACUUAAACUAAAUGUCAUGCAAUGUUCAAACUCAUAAAUUAGAGAGAUUAAAAUACCAAACAAGAAAGAUAAGAUUUGUACCACUCGAUUAAUACAAGCUAAACUUAAUUUAAACUCGGGAACAUGAAGUCUAACCAACAGAAAAUGGAUGAGGAUGAAGGAAAAUCAAAAAAGAAAAGAUAGAGAACUUAGCUAAUUUGAAUUGGACCCCGGACUGAGUAAGACCUUCAUGCAUCAGAUUCAAAAUUCUGGAAACCCUAGAUUCAAUUCCGAGUAGUUGGAGGUAUUCGAGGGAAGAUAAGUGGGAAUUUGGGAUGAGGGGGUCGAGAAGGUCAUAGGGUAUGAUUUUGGGGCGAUUAGGUGGUUGUGGGGUUUUUCCGCCUCUCUUUGAAUCAAUAUUCGAGGGGAUUGGCUGGGAUUCGAAGGAAGGUAAUAGUGGAUUUAUGAUGAGGAUAUCGAUGAGAGCUUGUGGUGUUAAUUUGGUAGCGAUUGGCCACCGGCAGAGACGAUUUUCGGUAAGCGGCGGACGACGGAGAUGGUGGGGUUGUCUCUAGGGUUUAAAGAGAACAAGGAGACAAUGAGUAACUG